RNAcentral lists this ribosomal RNA (467 nucleotides) under uncultured bacterium. RNAcentral's name for it is "partial 16S ribosomal RNA". It matches the Rfam family "Bacterial small subunit ribosomal RNA", at positions 29 to 507 of the family's 1533-position model. The record is from RNAcentral.
ACGAACGCUGGCGGCGUGCUUAACCCCUGCAAGUCGAACGGAAAGGCCCUGCUUUUGUGGGGUGCUCGAGUGGCGAACGGGUGAGUAACACGUGAGUAACCUGCCCUUGACUUUGGGAUAACUUCAGGAAACUGGGGCUAAUACCGGAUAGGAGCUCCUGCUGCAUGGUGGGGGUUGGAAAGUUUCGGCGGUUGGGGAUGGACUCGCGGCUUAUCAGCUUGUUGGUGGGGUAGUGGCUUACCAAGGCUUUGACGGGUAGCCGGCCUGAGAGGGUGACCGGCCACAUUGGGACUGAGAUACGGCCCAGACUCCUACGGGAGGCAGCAGUGGGGAAUAUUGCACAAUGGGCGGAAGCCUGAUGCAGCAACGCCGCGUGCGGGAUGAAGGCCUUCGGGUUGUAAACCGCUUUCGCCUGUGACGAAGCGUGAGUGACGGUAAUGGGUAAAGAAGCACCGGCUAACUACGUG